CCGGUUCGCUGUUGUUGAAACUUUUUUCAGCGCGCGGAGGGGGCGGGGCGGUGCGCGGCCCGGAGGGCGGCUCCGCCCACUCUUAAGGGCGCGCUGCCGGCCCAGCGCAGCGCCGCCGCAGCUGUUCAGUCCGGCAUCCGCUGGCCUCUCUGUUCCGCUCUUUUUACUCUGUGUUUUUUAGGCGACGGAGUGUUAUUCGUUCUCCUGGAUCUCCCCAGUCCGUUACUUCGACGGGAGCCAGAAGUCUGUUCAUUUUCCGGGUUUGAUCAUCACUGCAGGCUAGCGAGCGCCGGGGGAAGGGAAGAACUUGGCACACGGGAGCCGUGAGGAGCAGCAGCACACGUUCCAGCCUCAGAGCGGUCCAGCGAAGAAUGCUACAAGGGAAAAACACCUGCAUGGAGGGUCAUUUCAUCCGAUGGGCCAAAUCAUUUUUUUCCCUGUUCUCCUGGUAACAGAUGGAGAAGGUUGGAAGAACAGGCUGGCCUUGGCAUCAGCAUGUUGAAGCGAGCACACAACCCAGCUCUGAUAUCGUCGUGGUGAAGUCAGCCCUGGCAUGGCACCCACUUACCAGUUGCCUCAGUGUUGUGAUCUAGCCACAGUCCAGGCAUCAAAGCCUGUAAGAACUGCUAAAAGAACCUGUGAAGAAUAGGACUUAAAAUGGAGAAUUCCCAAACAGUUCUUGGAAUGACUACUGAACAAACAGAACAACUAAAAACCAUGGCUCAGAAUCAAUGUUCUUAUCCUUUAAAAGAAUCCAAAUCUUCAUUUGUGAGAUUUGUUGAACAGUGUAAUACUAAAGUCAUUUGGUUGGUUUGGAUUUAUCUUAGUAGUCUGAGCUCCCAAGUUAUUGUCAGUUCAGCUCUUGGAUAAAAUCCAAACAUCUUUGGUUUUAGUUACAUCACUUAUCUUUGAGAAUAUAAUUAAAAAUAAAUUAAUCCAUGAAUUUA
This is a long non-coding RNA of Chinchilla lanigera (long-tailed chinchilla), 947 nucleotides long. RefSeq lists it as uncharacterized. The record is from RefSeq and is a predicted model, not a curated record. NCBI's taxonomy places the organism in Eukaryota, Metazoa, Chordata, Mammalia, Rodentia, Chinchillidae. The transcript is spliced from 4 exons.